Molecule: ribosomal RNA, 149 nt
Filed under: Parasola schroeteri
Lineage: Eukaryota; Fungi; Basidiomycota; Agaricomycetes; Agaricales; Psathyrellaceae
Description: Parasola schroeterii 5.8S ribosomal RNA
Rfam family: 5.8S ribosomal RNA
About the family: 5.8S ribosomal RNA (5.8S rRNA) is a component of the large subunit of the eukaryotic ribosome. It is transcribed by RNA polymerase I as part of the 45S precursor that also contains 18S and 28S rRNA. Functionally, it is thought that 5.8S rRNA may be involved in ribosome translocation.
Source: RNAcentral
UCAGCAACGGAUCUCUUGGCUCUCGCAUCGAUGAAGAACGCAGCGAAAUGCGAUAAGUAAUGUGAAUUGCAGAAUUCAGUGAAUCAUCGAAUCUUUGAACGCACCUUGCGCUCCUUGGUAUUCCGAGGAGCAUGCCUGUUUGAGUGUCA